GGGAAUGUGGCUCAGUGGUAGAGUGCUUGCCUAGCAUGCAUGAAGCUCCGAUUACAUUCCUA
RNAcentral lists this transfer RNA (62 nucleotides) under Dipodomys ordii (Ord's kangaroo rat). It matches the Rfam family "tRNA". From Rfam's summary of the family: Transfer RNA (tRNA) molecules are approximately 80 nucleotides in length. Lineage: Eukaryota; Metazoa; Chordata; Mammalia; Rodentia; Heteromyidae. The record is from Rfam by way of RNAcentral.